RNAcentral lists this ribosomal RNA (2214 nucleotides) under Peniculistoma mytili. RNAcentral describes it as "SSU rRNA". The stretch from base 1 to 1723 matches the Rfam family "Eukaryotic small subunit ribosomal RNA". Lineage: Eukaryota; Ciliophora; Oligohymenophorea; Pleuronematida; Peniculistomatidae. The record is from RNAcentral.
UAGAUUAAGCCAUGCAUGUCUAAGUAUAAAUAGUAUACAGUGAAACUGCGAAUGGCUCAUUAAAACAGUUAUAGUUUAUUUGAUAAUUGAAAAUUACAUGGAUAACCGUGGUAAUUCUAGAGCUAAUACAUGCUGUCAAGCCCGACUUUUUGAAGGGUUGUAUUUAUUAGACUUAAGCCAAUAUUCCUCACGGUCUAUUGCGGUGAUUCAUAAUAACUGAUCGAAUCUCAUAUGUGAGAUAAAUCAUUCAAGUUUCUGCCCUAUCAGCUUUCGAUGGUAGUGUAUUGGACUACCAUGGCAGUAACGGGUAACGAAGAAUUAGGGUUCGAUUUCGGAGAGGGAGCAUGAGAAACGGCUACCACAUCUAAGGAAGGCAGCAGGCGCGUAAAUUACCCAAUCCUGACUCAGGGAGGUAGUGACAAGAAAUAGCAAACCGGGAGCCUCACGGUUUCACGGUAUUGCAAUGAGAACAAUUUAAAACUCUUAGCGAGGAACAAGUGGAGGACAAGUCUGGUGCCAGCACCCGCGGUAAUUCCAGCUCCACUAGCGUAUAUUAAAGUUGUUGCAGUUAAAAAGCUCGUAGUUGAACUUCUGUAUGGGGCUAGUUCUGACUUCUGUCUGGCUAGUCCCAUGCAUCCGCUUGUAAGACCUGGAGGGCAUUUAUUUGUCGCCAGGAGGAACAGGCUUUUUACUUUGAAAAAAUUAGAGUGUUUAAGGCAGGCUAUCGCCCGCAUAUAUUAGCAUGGAAUAAUAGAAUAGGACACUUUUCCAUUUCGUUGGUUAUUGGAAUCGUGUAAUGAUUAAUAGGGACAGUUGUGGGCAUUUGUAUUUAAUUGUCAGAGGUGAAAUUCUUGGAUUUAUUAAAGACAAACUAACGCGAAAGCAUUUGCCAAGGAUGUUUUCAUUAAUCAAGAACGAAAGUUAGGGGAUCAAAGACGAUCAGAUACCGUCCUAGUCUUAACUAUAAACUAUUCCGACUCAAUGUUUGGCUGGCUUCUUUAACCAGCUGAGCGUUGUAUGAGAAAUCAAAGUCUUUAGGUUCUGGGGGGAGUAUGGUUGCAAAGCUGAAACUUAAAGGAAUUGACGGAAGAGCACAACCAGGAGUGGAUUCUGCGGCUUAAUUUGACUCAACACGGGGAAACUUACCAGGUUAAAACAAUAGUGGGAUUGACAGCUUGAGAGCGCUUUCUUGAUUGGUUGGGUGGUGGUGCAUGGCCGUUCUUAGUUGGUGGAGUGAUUUGUCUGCUUAAUUGCGUUAACGAACGAGACCUUAACCUGCUUACUAGACUGGCGAUGAACAAUCGUCAGCUCUUCUUAGAGGGACUUUGGUUGUUUUAACUCCAAGGAAGUUUGAGGCAAUAACAGGUCUGUGAUGCCCUUAGAUAUCCUGGGCCGCACGCGUCAUACAAUGACUAGUUCAGAAAGUUUCAUCCUGACCCGGAAGGGGCUGGGUAAUCUUGUCAGUACUAGUCGUAUUAGGGAUAGAUCUUUGCAAUUAUAGAUCUUGAACGAGGAAUUCCUAGUAAGUGCGGUUCAUCAGACCGUACUGAUUACGUCCCUGCUCUUUGUACACACCGCCCGUCGCUUCUACCGAGUGAGUGGUCCGGUGAGAUACUUGGAUCAACGGGGCAACCCGAUUUGAGAAGAUUAUCAAACCUAUCCACUUCGAGGAAGAAGAAGUCGUAACAAGGUUUCCGUAGGUGAACCUGCGGAAGGAUCAUUGACACAACAAUCAAUACACCUAAACCUUUGUUCUGUAUGGCUGUCAGAUUUAUCUGGCAGUCAUAUUUUUACAAACCUUCUUAACAGAAGAAAAAACCAUAAACAAGUUAAAAACAAAAAAACCAAAAAUACUCAACAAUGGAUAUCUUGGUUCCCAUAUCGAUGAAGAACGCAGCGAAAUGCGAUAUGUAAUGCGAAUUGCAAAAUCCACGAGUCAUCAAAUCUUUGAACGCAACUGGCGUUGGCUACCUGCCAACAUAUUUGUAUCAGUGUGUAAGGAAAUCACAAAUCUGAAUGUGGUUGAGCGUAACAGCUCUCCCAUUAAACACGAGGGGUGGAGGACAACUCUGCCAAACGAAGUAGUCGCUAGCUAUCUAGUGAUCUCGUUUGAGCGCUAGUAGUCUUCAGAAACACCUUUAGAACAAGCUCUCUCCAUCCAUACCUGAUAUAAGUAAGACCACCCGCUGAACUUAAGCAUAUCAGUAAGCGGAG